GGGGCCUUAGCUCAGUUGGGAGAGCGCCGCCUUUGCAAGGCGGAAGUCAUCGGUUCGAACCCGAUAGGCUCCA
Molecule: transfer RNA, 73 nt
Filed under: bacterium
Lineage: Bacteria
Also listed under: 1 other name
Description: tRNA-Ala
Rfam family: tRNA
About the family: Transfer RNA (tRNA) molecules are approximately 80 nucleotides in length. Their secondary structure includes four short double-helical elements and three loops (D, anti-codon, and T loops).
Source: RNAcentral